This is a long non-coding RNA of Oncorhynchus keta (chum salmon), 834 nucleotides long. RefSeq lists it as uncharacterized. The record is from RefSeq and is a predicted model, not a curated record. The transcript is spliced from 3 exons. Lineage: Eukaryota; Metazoa; Chordata; Actinopteri; Salmoniformes; Salmonidae.
CUCUCUCUCUCUCUCUCUCUCUCUCUCUCUCUCUCUCUCUCUCUCUCUCUCUCUCUCUCUCUCUGUCUCUCUCUCUCUCUCUCUGUUGCUCUCUCUCUCGCUGUCUCUCUCUCUCUCUCGCUGUCUCUCUCUGUCUCUCUCUCUCUCUCUCUCUCUGUCUCUCUCUCUCACUCACUCUGUACAUUUGUUACUAUUUGCUAGCAUCGCAGUGGAAAGCCAUAAUGGAGAUGCACAGGGAAGAUACAGCUAGCACGCACGAGACAAGUUUAUUCUGAAGGAGGCACACCACUCAAAUAAUCACACCGGAGGAGAUGCUUGUUCUAGCCCCUCAAUCUUUCCAGGAAUGGAGCCGUCAUACAUUUUUGAAGAUGUUUGUGUCAUCGAGUGGAUGCUCCUCUUUGAGGGAUGAGAAAUAGGAUGAGUAAUUUACAGACUUUGAUGUGGGAUUAAAAAAAAAAUGCAAUCAUCACUUCAGGAAAUCCUGGAGUGUUUUUUUCCGGCGUCCUGGAACGCACCCUGUCUGGUUGCCGGGCAAUGUAGCCAGUUGGGAGUUCUGAUUACCCGCACCUGUAUCCCAUCAGCUAUCUGCACACCUGGUCCUGAUCAUCAUCUCUCCUCUUCAUAAGCCCGGACCUGACAUCCAUUCCCUGCCGGAUCGUUAGCCAUGAACAUUACUCACCCGGAUCAUUUACCCCAUGCCCGCCUGGUCGGAGGAGGAUUCCGCUACCCCAUUGGAUCCACCUAUUUACUCCCAUCAACUCACCACUGCUGCCUGCUACGCCACCUGGAUAUAUCUACCCAUUCACAUUCACUUGUAAAUAAAUACUCACCUUC